This is a non-coding RNA of Podarcis lilfordi (Lilford's wall lizard), 65 nucleotides long. NCBI's taxonomy places the organism in Eukaryota, Metazoa, Chordata, Lepidosauria, Squamata, Lacertidae. The record is from the annotation of a GenBank genome assembly.
AUGCCCAGUGGCAGAGCCUCUGCUUUGCAUGCAGAAGGUACAAGGUUCAAUCCCUGGAAUCUCCA